Molecule: ribosomal RNA, 2817 nt
Filed under: Triticum aestivum (bread wheat)
Lineage: Eukaryota; Viridiplantae; Streptophyta; Magnoliopsida; Poales; Poaceae
Description: partial small subunit ribosomal RNA
Source: RNAcentral
AUGGAUGUGCCUAUGCCUUCACAGUCCAACCGCGCUGGAUGCAAUGGAAGCGUCGGCAGCCCGUCGGAUGAUCCAUAUGGCGUUACAGCCAUGAUGAACUUUGAUGGGUACUCAGAGCUCUGCGGCAGCCCUUCAUUAGCUGACCAGCUGUUCUCGUUGCUGAACGAUUCGUCCACACACCAGAUGUUUGCUAUGUGGUCAUCCUUGGGAUCUUCGCCACGUGCUUCUGGUGUCAGUGAAGAUAUGCAGCUCGAUGCCUAUUCCAGUGUACCUGGGGAUCAAAAGGUUGAUUUGGUAUCUUCAGUGAAUCCAGCUGAAACUGGGACUGGGAGAAUGGCCAAGAGUUCAGGCGACCUUGGCUCAGAUGGUGAUCCUGAGCAAGGAAGUACUAGUUUGGUUCCGAGGCCUAUUGCCGGCAACUUACUCGCUGACAGGAUGCUCAUGGCUCUGUCUUUGUUCAGGAAGUCACUUGGCGGCGGCGUUCUUGCGCAGGUCUGGAUGCCUGUUGAGCAGGAGGGGCAUGUCGUGCUUAGUACAUGUGAACAGCCGUUUCUGCUUGACCAAGCUCUUGCUGGGUACAGAGAAGUAUCCAGGCAUUUUGUGUUCUCCGCUAAGGAGGAGACCGGCCUUCAACCAGGGCUUCCAGGGAGGGUCUUCAUCUCCGGUGUGCCAGAAUGGACCUCAAAUGUGCUCUACUACAGCAAGCCAGAGUAUCUGAGGAUGGAGUAUGCUCUUCAUCACGACGUUCGAGGAUCACUUGCUAUGCCGAUAUACGACCCCAGCAAGGGCUCUUGCUGUGCAGUGCUUGAGCUUAUCACAAAGAAGGAGAAACCUGACUUUGCUGCAGAAAUGGACAACCUUCGCCAUGCCUUGCAGGCUGUGAACUUGGAGACAGCAAAGGAUUGCAUUGAUCAGAAGGUUUAUUCAGCAAAUCAGAAAGCCGCUUUCACUGAGAUUUUGGAUGUUCUAAGAGCUAUUUGCCAUGCACACAUGCUUCCGUUGGCCCUCACAUGGGUCCCUUCAUCAAAUGGCAGUGAUGGUGGUUAUGUUGGACAUGAUAGUGUCCUUGAUUCUCAGUCAGGAAAAACGAUACUCCGCAUCCAUGAAUCAGCGUGUUAUGUUAAUGAUGCAAAGAUGCAAGGAUUUUUUCAUGCAUGCACUGAAACUCACCUUGAGAAAGGGCAAGGUAUUGCAGGCCGAGCACUCAAGUCCAAUCUGCCGUUCUUCUCUCCCAAUAUCAGAGAAUACGGAAUUAAAGAUUACCCACUCGCACACCAUGCUCGUAAGUUUGGCCUGCAUGCUGCUGUAGCAAUCCGGCUAAGGAGCACAUACACCGGUGAUGAUGACUACAUACUAGAAUUCUUUCUACCAAUCAACUGCACAGGCAGUGAAGAACAACAGAUGUUAUUGAAUAACCUCUCCAGUACUAUGCAAAGAAUAUGCAAAAGUUUACGAACAGUUUCUGAAGCAGAGGUUGAUAAAGUUGAUGCUUGUACUGCAGUAAUGUAUAAGGCAACCAGUGGAAGUUGCUUGCCUACUGGUCAGUCUGAGAGUUCUUCGCGUGGUGAUCAACCAGCCACAGAAGAGGCAUUCCAGGAUCUAUCUUUAAUUGAUAAGCAACGGGGCAUGUCCGAGCAGGCACAGUCUAGUACAAUGCGACUUGCGGAGAAAAAGCGCAGUACAGCUGAGAAGAAUAUUGGCAUGGAUGUUCUUCGUAAGUACUUCUCUGGGAGCCUAAAGGAUGCUGCAAAGAGCCUUGGUGUUUGUCCAACAACCUUAAAACGGAUAUGCCGCACACAUGGAAUUUCACGAUGGCCAUCUCGCAAGAUAAACAAGGUCAACCGUUCAUUAAAGAAGAUCCAAACUGUCAUUAACUCGGUUCAUGGAGUGGACAGUUCUUUGCAGUAUGAUCCUGCUACUGGAUCUCUUGUUCCAGCAGUUUCUCUGCCAGAGAAGACUUCAUUCCCUUCGUGUGAUGCUGUGUCCAGUCCAUCCGUUGGGAAAACUGUGGAUGAAAAAUCUGGCCCAAAAUCUGAGCAAGGGUAUUCGUCACCUGAAGGAUGGGAAAGAGAGAGUUGCCAGUUGCAGCGCCCUGAUGCGCAGAAAGGGGAAGGCGAUGAAUUUCACAUGCAGACAAGUAACUAUAGUGGCAGUGGUGAUCACGCCUCUUAUGGUGCGAAUGUCACACAUCAUAUUAAUUCUGAAGGAACACAAGAACCAUUGUAUCCCAUUGGUGCUGUUAGUGCUUUACAUGACAAAGAAACAGGCUGCAUCGAACCUUCUGCCCGUGUCCUCCCAAGCAUCAAGACUACCAGGGACCAGAUAGUGGGAAGGAACUCACCGCCCGCACAACAAGCAGAUAUUGAUAUGUUUGACGACCGUGAAGGCAGGGAGCAUACUCAUCCUUCCACCUCUGGUAUGACAGACUCUUCUAGUGGCAGUGCAUCAAGCCACCCCACAUUUAAGAAGAACCCAGCACGUCCACUUAAAGACAAGAGCAGCCCUGCACUUACGGUCAAGGCAACGUACAACGGAGACACCGUGCGGUUCAAGUUCUUGCCAUCGAUGGGCUGGUACAACCUGCUGGAAGAAAUAGCCAAGAGGUUCAAGCUGUCGAUGGGGGUGUUCCAGCUCAAGUACAAGGACGACGAGGACGAGUGGGUCAUCAUGGCAAACGACUCUGAUCUCCAGGAGUGCGUCGACGUCAUGGACUCGAUGGGCACGCGCAACGUGAAGCUCCAGGUCCGGGAUCUCCCGUGCCUCAUCAGCAGCUCGGGCAGCAGCAGCUGCUUGCAGCUGGAAGGACACAAUUCAUAA